Molecule: long non-coding RNA, 301 nt
Organism: Ostrinia nubilalis (European corn borer)
Lineage: Eukaryota; Metazoa; Arthropoda; Insecta; Lepidoptera; Crambidae
Exons: 2
Source: RefSeq, a predicted model, not a curated record
UACAAGUAUAAAAGGUAGUGUUAGUGCUGUUUCGAAUCAUUCAGUCUUGUGUUUGUGAAUCGACAGCAAUCAUGAAGGUGUUGGCAUUAUUGAUCGUCGUAGCUGUGGUCUGCGUGGCCAUCGAAGCGAGGCCCAGGGCCCAGGGCCCGUACAAUGAUCAGGAACCAGGAUCGAUGUCAGAAAUGUACUUGGAAAUAAAAGAUAUGCUCAAACCGGAAAAUCUUGAGCAGCACCUGUUGUCGGACCAAAGUACUGAUAUCUUAAAAUAAAUAAAUGAUGUGAAGUAAACUGUUUGUUUUUA